This 236-nucleotide long non-coding RNA is filed under the name Ananas comosus (pineapple). RNAcentral describes it as "long non-coding RNA (ACOM_LNC002391)". Lineage: Eukaryota; Viridiplantae; Streptophyta; Magnoliopsida; Poales; Bromeliaceae. The record is from RNAcentral.
UUUAUUUCACAACAAAAAGAGACAUUUAAUAUAUAGAAUUGAGCUCCUAUAUUUUUAAAAAGUAUUAAGUUAUUGGUGCUUGUAGAUUUUUGAUCCUUAGAUUAAAGGACGCGUUGUUAGAAUGAUAGCGAUUCUCUUGGGUUGAGUAAGUGGUUGAUUGAAUAGUAUGAUCUAAUAGAUGAAAAUAAUCAAAAAAAUAAAUCUAACGGUGAAAAACUUACAAGCACAAGUUUUAU